RNAcentral lists this ribosomal RNA (301 nucleotides) under uncultured bacterium. Its description in RNAcentral is "partial 16S ribosomal RNA". It matches the Rfam family "Bacterial small subunit ribosomal RNA", at positions 509 to 807 of the family's 1533-position model. The record is from RNAcentral.
CAGCCGCCGCGGGAAUACGAAGGGGGCUAGCGUUGUUCGGAAUUACUGGGCGUAAAGCGCACGUAGGCGGAUAUUUAAGUCAGGGGUGAAAUCCCAGAGCUCAACUCUGGAACUGCCUCUGAUACUGGGUAUCUUGAGUAUGGAAGAGGUGAGUGGAAUUCCGAGUGUAGAGGUGAAAUUCGUAGAUAUUCGGAGGAACACCAGUGGCGAAGGCGGCUCACUGGUCCAUUACUGACGCUGAGGUGCGAAAGCGUGGGGAGCAAACAGGAUUAGAGACCCCGGUAGUCCCUGUCUCUUAUAC